UACGAAGGGGCGAGCGUUGUUCGGAUUUACUGGCGUAAAGGACGCGCAGGCGGUCUUGAAAGUCAGGCGUGAAAGCCCCGGGCUUAACCUGGGAACUUGCGCUUGAUACUCUGAGACUGGAGUACGGGAGAGGAGAGUGGAAUUCCCAGUGUAGAGGUGAAAUUCAUAGAUAUUGGGAAGAACACCAGUGGCGAAGGCGGCUCUCUGGACCGUAACUGACGCUGAGGCGCGAAAGCGUGGGGAGCAAACAGG
This 252-nucleotide ribosomal RNA is filed under the name uncultured bacterium. RNAcentral's name for it is "partial 16S ribosomal RNA". It matches the Rfam family "Bacterial small subunit ribosomal RNA", at positions 524 to 776 of the family's 1533-position model. The record is from RNAcentral.